GAAGCUGAAAUAAAAGUGAAAGGAUCAUUGUUGUUCUUAUUUUCAGUUUUCUUAAUAUAAUAAAAUUCUUACACCCGGACAUUCGAGAAAUAUAUCCUCCAAAAUGGAUCUCAACAAUAUUACAAUAUAUUUUGAUGAGCUAUAUUAUAGUAUUGUCUAUAGUGUAUAAAUCUAAUGUGAUUAUAGUAUAAUACUUUGAUAUUUGUAAUAGGAAUUAUGUUUUUCCAAGAGACUGAAGUCUUAAUCAUUCUGCAAUAUUAUAACCUUUAUGGGAAUUGGGCAUCAUCAUCAUCAUUUUCUGCAAAUUUGCUCCUUUCUUUUGUAUUUUGUCUAUCCACUGUGAUCUGGGAUGUACACUAGAUAGUUUUUUCCAUUGAACAAUUUAUUAUACUCUAGGACUAAGUUCUCUGUCAAAGCCUCUUGUUCUUUCACUCUUUUCCCCUAUAUUGAGCUGCUCAUUUUUCCCUUGACAGAAAUUGGAGAGACUGCGCAGCCAUUCAAGUGAAGUGAAGAUUGCAGGAGUUGAAGUCCGUUACUCUCGCAAUGGUAACCCUUUUAUCUCAUACUUGGCUAUUUCUCAUCGCAAUGCUGAGAUUAUUCAUUCUGCUCUGGCAAUUAUGCCCACGGAUUAUUCUUCAUCUCCUACCAAUACACCCAUUUGUUUCUAACAGGUUUGAGAACAUCUAGUGUUUAGAUGAUGCUGUAAGUGUCAAAUAGUCAGAGAGCAGGCUCUUCCCUCUACUGUCAGGUUCUCAAAAUCGUUGAAUGCUAUGAUAUUUAUAAAGCAUUGCUGUUGUUUCUCCCUUUGAAGAAAUGCAGAAAUUAGGUAUUCCAACGAAUGAAUUCAUAUCCACUUCCUGGUACAUCAACCAUAAACAAAAUCAAACCUUACUUUAGAUUGAAUCCUCUUAGUUGUUAUUUCUUAUUUCAAAUUCAAAUUCUCUCUGCAGCUCUUUCUCAGAUUUUCCUCUUGGUCAAUAAUGGAGUUCCAGAUUGUGAAAAAAAUGGCUCGUACGAAGCAGACAGCCUGUAAAUCUAGCGGUGGAAAGGCUCUGUGGAAACAACAACAACAAUCCAGUAUAAUCCCACUUAGUGGGGUCUGGGGAGGGUAGUAUAUACGCA
This 1122-nucleotide long non-coding RNA is filed under the name Nicotiana benthamiana. RNAcentral describes it as "long non-coding RNA (NBEN_LNC009036)". Lineage: Eukaryota; Viridiplantae; Streptophyta; Magnoliopsida; Solanales; Solanaceae. The record is from RNAcentral.